GCAGCGGGACAGGGCGAAGCGGCCUGCGCCCACGGAGCGCGCGACACUGCCCGGAAGGGACCGCCACCCUUGCCCCCUCAGCUGCCCACUCGUGAUUUCCAGCGGCCUCCGCGCGCGCACGGGUAAGCUUGAUGAUUACCAGGAACGAAUGAACAAAGGGGAAAGGCUUAAUCAAGAUCAGCUGGAUGCCGUUUCUAAGUACCAGGAAGUCACAAAUAAUUUGGAGUUUGCAAAAGAAUUACAGAGGAGUUUCAUGGCACUAAGUCAAGAUAUUCAGAAAACAAUAAAGAAGACAGCACGUCGGGAGCAGCUUAUGAGAGAAGAAGCUGAACAGAAACGUUUAAAAACUGUACUUGAGCUACAGUAUGUUUUGGACAAAUUGGGAGAUGAUGAAGUGCGGACUGACCUGAAACAAGGUUUGAAUGGAGUGCCAAUAUUGUCCGAAGAGGAGUUGUCAUUGUUGGAUGAAUUCUAUAAGCUAGUAGACCCUGAACGGGACAUGAGCUUGAGGUUGAAUGAACAGUAUGAACAUGCCUCCAUUCACCUGUGGGACCUGCUGGAAGGGAAGGAAAAA
Molecule: small RNA, 574 nt
Filed under: Pan troglodytes (chimpanzee)
Lineage: Eukaryota; Metazoa; Chordata; Mammalia; Primates; Hominidae
Description: processed transcript
Source: RNAcentral